CGGACGGGUGAGUAAUGCCUAGGAAUCUGCCUGGUAGUGGGGGACGAACGUUUCGAAAGGAACGCUAAUACCGCAUACGUCCUACGGGAGAAAGCAGGGGACCUCCGGGCCUUGCGCUAUCAGAUGAGCCUAGGUCGGAUUAGCUAGUUGGUGAGGUAAUGGCUCACCAAGGCGACGAUCCGUAACUGGUCUGAGAGGAUGAUCAGUCACACUGGAACUGAGACACGGUCCAGACUCCUACGGGAGGCAGCAGCU
RNAcentral lists this ribosomal RNA (255 nucleotides) under uncultured Pseudomonas sp. RNAcentral's name for it is "partial 16S ribosomal RNA". It matches the Rfam family "Bacterial small subunit ribosomal RNA", at positions 99 to 355 of the family's 1533-position model. The record is from RNAcentral. Lineage: Bacteria; Pseudomonadati; Pseudomonadota; Gammaproteobacteria; Pseudomonadales; Pseudomonadaceae.